RNAcentral lists this ribosomal RNA (372 nucleotides) under uncultured organism. RNAcentral describes it as "partial 16S ribosomal RNA". It matches the Rfam family "Bacterial small subunit ribosomal RNA", at positions 527 to 896 of the family's 1533-position model. The record is from RNAcentral.
GGAGGGUGCAAGCGUUGUUCGGAAUUAUUGGGCGUAAAGCGCGUGUAGGCGGUUAUCUAAGUCUGAUGUGAAAGCCCGGGGCUUAACCCCGGAAGUGCAUAGGAUACUGGAUAACUAGAGGACGAGAGAGGGAAGUGGAAUUCCUGGUGUAGGGGUGAAAUCCGUAGAUAUCAGGAGGAACAUCGGAGGCGAAGGCGGCUUCCUGGCUCGUAACUGACGCUGAGACGCGAAAGCGUGGGUAGCAAACAGGAUUAGAUACCCUGGUAGUCCACGCCCUAAACGAUGGAUACUAGUUAUCGGGAUACCCUAAUAGUCUCGGUGGCGUAGCUAACGCAUUAAGUAUCCCGCCUGGGGAUUACGGUCGCAAGAUUA